AAGUCGUAACAAGGUUUCCGUAGGUGAACCUGCGGAAGGAUCAUUAACAAAUUCUAUUUUUAUAUAUUGUGCAUUUUAGGGUGCGUGACUUGUCACUAGCCCUAAAGCAAGAAACUAUUAGUCUCUAAUUUAUUUAUAAUCUACAACUUUUAACAAUGGAUCUCUAGGCUCUU
This 173-nucleotide unclassified non-coding RNA is filed under the name fungal sp. RNAcentral's name for it is "partial internal transcribed spacer region". The stretch from base 1 to 46 matches the Rfam family "Eukaryotic small subunit ribosomal RNA", at positions 1786 to 1831 of the family's 1831-position model. Lineage: Eukaryota; Fungi. The record is from RNAcentral.